RNAcentral lists this signal recognition particle RNA (148 nucleotides) under Papio anubis (olive baboon). RNAcentral describes it as "Metazoan signal recognition particle RNA (ENSPANG00000037779.1)". It matches the Rfam family "Metazoan signal recognition particle RNA". From Rfam's summary of the family: The signal recognition particle (SRP) is a universally conserved ribonucleoprotein. It is involved in the co-translational targeting of proteins to membranes. The eukaryotic SRP consists of a 300-nucleotide 7S RNA and six proteins: SRPs 72, 68, 54, 19, 14, and 9. Lineage: Eukaryota; Metazoa; Chordata; Mammalia; Primates; Cercopithecidae. The record is from Rfam by way of RNAcentral.
GCCGGGCGUGGUGGCGCACGUCUGUAAUCCCAGCUACUUGGGAGGCUGAGGCAGGAGAAUCGCUUGAACCCAGGAGGCGGAGGUUGCAGUGAGCUGAGAUUGCACCACUGCACUCCAGCCUGGGCAACAAAGCGAGACUCCGUCUCAA